RNAcentral lists this long non-coding RNA (1548 nucleotides) under Sus scrofa (pig). Its description in RNAcentral is "lncRNA (ENSSSCG00070023913.1)". The record is from RNAcentral. Lineage: Eukaryota; Metazoa; Chordata; Mammalia; Artiodactyla; Suidae.
CAGGGGCUGUGGUGAAGGGUCUUCAGUUAGCCUUUUACUGUGAGAGAGACCCUGCGGGGAGACAGAGCAGGAGAGGAGGAAAAACGGAAACUGUCUAUGGAGGCAGAGACCCUUAUGAGACAGUCCAAUCAGAAAUCUUAAAACUGUGGGGAAGUAUCUAGAAGCCCUGAAAUCUUUGGUGAAGGUGUGUUAAAAAUCACAUUAGGGAGUUCCCAUUGUGGCGCAGUGGUUAACGAAUCCGACUAGGAACCCUGAGGUUGCAGGUUCAGUCCCUGGCCUCGCUCAGUGGGUUAAGGAUCCGGUGUUGCCGUGAGCUGUGGUGUAGGUCGCAGACGUGGCUCGGAUUCCGCGUUGCUGUGGCUCUGGCGUAGGCCGGCGGCUACAGCUCUGAUUAGACCCCUAGCCUGGAAACCUCCAUAUGCUGCGGGAGCGGCCCAAAGGAAAUAGCAAAAAGACAAAAAAAAAAAAAAAAAGACCAAAAAAAAAAAAAAUCACAUUAGAUCUAGAUGGGACCUUAUAUUGGGAGGCUGUAUAUUCAGUAAUAAACUGGGACACUUUUGAGAGUGAAAGAGAAUGUUAUGAAUAAAAUAGCCAGGAACAACAGGUGUAAGUGGGGACUGUGCUGGACAAACUGGCUCAGUGUUCACUCUGCUUAUUAAAGUAGUUCUUGGAGAGGAUGCGCUAUAGACUGUGAGGAAAAUUUCCAAAAUAAUGACGCAAUUGGGAAGGCGGGGAGAAUGAGGUGUAGAGAGCAGUUCUUUUCCAGAAUUUGGUGACAGGAAGAAUAUACAGUUUACAACAGCUCUCCGGGUGUGUCUUGUCCCCUCUAUCCCACGCUGAGGGUGGCAGAGGUCUCUCAAUUUCCGGAACAAAGCGGAUUCCAGGUGCGCUUGCGCAGACUCCAGCGUGGGAGGGGGUGCUCUCAGGGUCCUCAACGCAAUUCCAUCCUCGGGAGAAACUUGAUAUGCCCAAGUAUGAACCCAACUUAAAGAGGAAGAAUGAUAUGAACUGGAGGUGCUUUCGGAAACUUGUUGCAGAUCUGAGGUCUGAAGAUGCAGAGAAAUGGCUUUUACCACGUUUCACUUUGAAAGGUAGGAAACUUCUUUGACACAGUUGGUAGAAUUUCAGAGGCAGAGUCCUUAAGCUUCUUAUACUUAAAAAAAAAAUAACUUACCUGUCCCUCCUCCCCCCACCCAAUUAAAUAAUGUCUUAACAGUGGGGCUAGGUUAGGAGCACUUUUACAAGCUUCUCAGGUGAUUCUGUGCACAGCAUUGUGAACUCUUGAUCUAGACCAGCUCAUUUUACUGAUGGGAAAAGUACUUUCUGCUGGUGGGGAAGGUACAUGUUCAUCUUCCAUGUGGCCUCCAAAAUAUGCUAAAAAAAGAAAUUGGAGUUAAAAACCUUCACUGAGUCCCCCCACCCCCUUUCUGACAUUUCCCUUCAGUUUUUAGGACCAAGCUCAGGGUGUUUAGCUUAGAUCACAGCUCUUUUCAGUAUUUGCCUCUUGCUACACAUCUCACCUCCAUUUUUCUCUUCCCCUACUUCUAC